AUACAGGAGGAGAUCGAGAAAAGGAUUGCAGAGAUACUAGGUCCAAAGACGGAAGCUGACAAUGUAAAACCAGUAAAAAAGAAGAAAGAAAAAGCAGCAAAAGCUGAGGAGAAAAAGGUUGCGGUAGCUACUGCUGCCCCACCGUCUGAGGAACUGAAUCCAUACUCACAUUUUCCUGAGUCAGCAGAAAACAACAAGGUUCAUACAGAAAUAUUCUUCAGCAAUGGGAACAUAUGGAGGGCGCAUAACACAAAGGAGAUUUUAGAGAAACAUCUUAUGGCAACUGGUGGAAAGACGACCCGUUUCCCUCCAGAACCUAAUGGAUAUCUUCAUAUCGGUCAUGCCAAGGCUAUGUUUAUUGAUUUUGGACUGGCUAAAGAGCGGAAUGGCUAUUGUUUCCUUAGGUUUGAUGACACAAACCCUGAAGCUGAAAAGAAGGAAUAUAUAGACCACAUCCAGGAGAUAGUUCAUUGGCUGGGAUGGGAGCCCUAUAAAGUUACAUAUACAAGUGAUUAUUUUCAAGCUUUGUAUGAGCAUGCAGUUGAGUUAAUACGGAAAGGGCUGGCCUAUGUAGAUCACCAGACUGCAGAGCAGAUCAGGGAAGGCAGGGAAAAUAGCUUGGAUAGUCCAUGGAGGGAUAGACCUAUUGAAGAGUCACUACGGUUAUUUGAAGACAUGCGGCGUGGGUUAAUUGCUGAGGGCGCAGCAACUCUGCGAAUGAAGCAGGACAUGCAGAAUGAUACCAGAAACAUGUACGACUUGAUUGCAUACAGAAUAAAAUUCACCCCUCAUCCACAUGCUGGUGACAAAUGGUGUAUAUAUCCAAGCUACGAUUAUGCCCAUUGCAUGGUGGAUUCACUUGAAAACAUUACUCAUUCGCUGUGCACGCUUGAGUUUGACGUACGACGUCCGUCGUACUACUGUGUACUUGUUGCCUUGGGCUUGUACCAGCCGUAUGUUUGGGAGUAUUCAAGGCUGAACAUAUCACAUAAUGUUAUGUCUAAAAGAAAGUUGAAUCGGCUUGUGACAGAGAAGUGGGUAGAUGGGUGGGAUGAUCCUCGUUUGUUAACACUGGCAGGACUGCGGCGACGGGGGGUGUCAGCAGCUGCAAUUAAUUCAUUUAUCCGUGGAAUGGGGAUAACAAGAAGUGACAAUAGCUUAAUUCCUUUCGAACGUCUUGAAUAUCACAUCAGAGAAGAACUUAACAAAACAGCUUCUCGAGCCAUGGUUGUUCUGCAUCCUCUAAAGGUUGUAAUAACUAACUUGGAAGAUGGAAAAGUCAUAGACCUUGAUGGAAAGAAGUGGCCUGAUGCUCCUGCUGAUGAAGCUUCGUCCUACCACAAGGUUGCGUUCUCAAGAACUGUCUACAUUGAAAAAACUGAUUUUCGCCUCGAGGACUCGAAAGACUAUUAUGGGCUAGCUCCUGGUAAAUCCGCCCUGCUAAGGUAUGCGUUCCCGAUAAAAUGCACAGAGUUUAUUUAUGGUGAUAAUCCAGAAGACAUUGUUGAGAUUCGAGCUGAGUAUGACCCCUCAAAGACUUCUAAACCCAAGGGUGUUCUGCACUGGGUUGCCGAGCCAGCGCCUGGAGUCGAGCCGCUAAAGGCCGAAAUAAGACUGUUUGAGAAGCUGUUCUUAUCAGAGAAUCCUGCCGGGCUGGAGGCCUGGCUGCGCGAUCUCAACUCGCACUCGAAGGAGGUUGUGAAGGGUGCGUACGCCGUGCCAUCGCUUGCGACCGCGGUUGUGGGCGACGAGUUCCAGUUUGAGCGGCUCGGCUACUUUGCCGUGGACACGGACUCGACGCCCGAGAAGCUCGUGUUCAACAGGACCGUCACGCCGCGCGACUCGUAUGGCAAGGCCGGGGGACCCAGGUGA
RNAcentral lists this ribosomal RNA (1872 nucleotides) under Triticum aestivum (bread wheat). RNAcentral's name for it is "partial small subunit ribosomal RNA". The record is from RNAcentral. Lineage: Eukaryota; Viridiplantae; Streptophyta; Magnoliopsida; Poales; Poaceae.